Non-coding RNA from Calidris pugnax (ruff), 387 nucleotides. NCBI's taxonomy places the organism in Eukaryota, Metazoa, Chordata, Aves, Charadriiformes, Scolopacidae. The record is from the annotation of a RefSeq genome assembly.
AUGCAGCUUGGAUAUCUCGUCCUCGUGGUCUUCCUAGAGCAACGGCUGGGCACCAUGGGACAGGUCACCAUCACCCAACAAGAAAGACAACUCGCAGUGAAGCAGAGAGACACCUUCCAAACAACCUGCACCUACCAGAGCUCCUACUUUUAUGGCUUGUUCUGGUACCAGCAGAGGAAAGGACAAGCUCCCCAGCUGGUCUCCUAUCAAGCAAGCGCUGGCCACAAGCGCAGUGGCCGUUUCACCACCGAGCUGAACACCACGGGGAAAUACAGCCUCCUGCAGCUGGAGGAAGUCGAGGUCUCUGACAGUGCCUUGUACCUCUGUGCUGGGCAAGACACUCCGGUGCAGGGAGCUUCCUUGGCUGUGCAAGAACCAGGGGAGUGA